CUAAGAGCUAUGAAACCGAGGAGUAUAAAUUAAGUACUUGAAGAGAGUAUAUGGUUGGUGAAAAUAUACAGUAACUGAUUUAGAAGGUAGCGUGUGGAGCAAUAUUCCUGAGUUUAGUAGGGAAUACGUUAGUGGCGUUAACACAUAAUGAAGAGACUAUUUAGUAAAUAAGGUGGUACCGCGGGAAAACUCGUCCUUAAA
RNAcentral lists this non-coding RNA (201 nucleotides) under Clostridium sp. RNAcentral describes it as "T-box sequence". It matches the Rfam family "T-box leader". From Rfam's summary of the family: Uncharged tRNA acts as the effector for transcription antitermination of genes in the T-box leader family. T-boxes are found upstream of many aminoacyl-tRNA synthetase genes and some amino acid biosynthetic genes usually in Gram-positive bacteria. Lineage: Bacteria; Bacillati; Bacillota; Clostridia; Eubacteriales; Clostridiaceae. The record is from RNAcentral.